UGACGAGUGGCGGACGGGGGAGUAAUGCUUGGGAAUCUAGCUUAUGGAGGGGGAUAACUACGGGAAACUGUAGCUAAUACCGCGUAAUAUCGGAAGAUUAAAGUGUGGGACCUUCGGGCCACAUGCCGUAGGAUGAGCCCAAGUGGGAUUAGGUAGUUGGUGGGGUAAAGGCCUACCAAGCCGACGAUCUCUAGCUGGUCUGAGAGGAUGACCAGCCACACCGGGACUGAGACACGGCCCGG
RNAcentral lists this ribosomal RNA (242 nucleotides) under uncultured bacterium. Its description in RNAcentral is "partial 16S ribosomal RNA". It matches the Rfam family "Bacterial small subunit ribosomal RNA", at positions 89 to 334 of the family's 1533-position model. The record is from RNAcentral.